This 445-nucleotide ribosomal RNA is filed under the name uncultured bacterium. RNAcentral describes it as "partial 16S ribosomal RNA". It matches the Rfam family "Bacterial small subunit ribosomal RNA", at positions 339 to 795 of the family's 1533-position model. The record is from RNAcentral.
CUACGGGACGCUCCAGUGGGGAAUAUUGCACAAUGGGCGAAAGCCUGAUGCAGCAACGCCGCGUGAGGGACGACGGCCUUCGGGUUGUAAACCUCUUUUAGCAGGGAAGAAGCGAAAGUGACGGUACCUGCAGAAAAAGCACCGGCUAACUACGUGCCAGCAGCCGCGGUAAUACGUAGGGUGCAAGCGUUGUCCGGAAUUAUUGGGCGUAAAGAGCUCGUAGGCGGUUGGUCGCGUCUGCUGUGAAAAUCCGAGGCUCAACCUCGGACCUGCAGUGGGUACGGGCAAACUAGAGUGCGGUAGGGGAGAUUGGAAUUCCUGGUGUAGCGGUGGAAUGCGCAGAUAUCAGGAGGAACACCAAUGGCGAAGGCAGAUCUCUGGGCCGUAACUGACGCUGAGGAGCGAAAGCGUGGGGAGCGAACAGGAUUAGAUACCCGAGUUAGUC